Molecule: long non-coding RNA, 743 nt
Organism: Poecilia latipinna (sailfin molly)
Lineage: Eukaryota; Metazoa; Chordata; Actinopteri; Cyprinodontiformes; Poeciliidae
Exons: 2
Source: RefSeq, a predicted model, not a curated record
UAGCUUUAAAGGAGCACAUUUAAAGCUUCCGUCAUGGCAGAAUGGGCAAAGGUCAAUAAGUGAAGGGUCAAUAAAGGCAAUGUUUCAUGGAAUUAAAAGCUUGUUGAUGAGUAAAAUUGAGUUAUAAUUGUAGGCAUAAUGUCCAAGUAAUGCAGACUGUACUUUGUGUCAUGUUUCAUUUAAUGACAUGUCUGUUUCGAAACCACAGAUUCUCCUAAGAGUCCCAGCAUUGUUGUUUCUGGAAGUGAUCUGAAGGAGCAUCAGUCUAUCACUGUAACCUGCUCAGCUUAUACUCCCUGUUCACACUCACCUCCUGAACUCACCUGGAAUAUAAAAAAAGACUCUGUCACACAAAUAGAGAAAAAAACUGAUGGAGCCUUUACAACUAAAUUCCAGGAGACCAUCACUCUGUUAGACACACAUAAUGGAUUCGGCAUCAAAUGUUAUGCCAAAUAUCCUGUGAAAGGAGGAUUCAAACAGGCAGUUGCAAUAAAGACUCUCAGUGUUUCAUUUGCUCCUCAAGAGACCUUUGCAUCCAUCAGUCCAUCAGGUUUGGUGUCACCAGGUACCGGGGUGGUGCUGAGCUGCUCCACCAGAGCCCAACCUUCACCCAGCUUUGCCUGGUUCAAGAACAUCGGACAUGGACCCAUUAAAGUCUCUUCAACGAAGACUUUCAGCUUCAGUGUUACUGAGCGAGAAGCCUAUUACUGUGAGGUCAAAAAUAGCCUUGGGAGUGACAAAUC